Molecule: long non-coding RNA, 4795 nt
Organism: Halichondria panicea
Lineage: Eukaryota; Metazoa; Porifera; Demospongiae; Suberitida; Halichondriidae
Exons: 8
Source: RefSeq, a predicted model, not a curated record
CUGUCGCUCUAGUGUCUCCUUCACGGAUGUCGCGUCGUACAUUCGUCUAUUUGAAAACGUCCUUUUCAUUAAAGGCAACAAGAUAUGGUCUCUAGGUUUGCUAUUUUCCAUUUCAGUGGAGAGGGCUGGUGAUCAAUGCUCGUGGAAUCAUCACACUUGUGGAAUCAUCACAUUCAGCCUCAAUUUGAACAGGAUACCUAUCAGCUUAUUACAUAGGGUUACAUAGGGUUACAUGAAUACCUGCGCAAGUACAGUCCCAGAACACUACUGCCUAAUUCAAUACACUCAAUCACCUGUACAAGUAAAUAAAGUCAAAGUAUUAUUAGCAGCAGUAUUAGCAGCAGUAUUAUUAGCAGCACUCACAUAUCCUCUUCAUAUUUCGAUCUGGGUGGCUUUGUCACCAAGGGUACGGACAAUAUCACUUCUACUUUGAUCAUUUAGUCAGGAAUGUGAAUUUUUUCAGUCUGAGAGUGCACUGUGCACUGUGGAACCGAAACUAGCCAGGGAUGAGCCAAUUUCUGUAUAUUGGUGACUCCAGUUGGCUGCGUACAGUUGGCUGCGUAUCAGUUUGGGGUUUGGGAUUUGGGACACGAAUAAACCACUUUUCAAAACUGUCAUGUACCUAUAUAAAAAAACGCAAACGCACAUCAGUAAGUAUUGAUUGCUAUUGUUUCUUUAUAUUACUAUUACUAUAUUUAAUUUUAUUCAUGUUGUGUAUAUACUAGCCUCGAACCAGGCCCAAAAUUGGGCCUGGAAGGGAUUGCAUGCGCAUGCGUCAAAAUUCCCAGAAAACUUGGGAAUUUGGAUACUGUUUGUAAAUGUACUAUAGGUCCAUAUAAAAAAGAUUUAGUUACUUACGCCUUAGACGCCUUAGAUACAGCUACAUUCAAGUUCAGUUAGACAGUAUUAAGUGGAAGGUAAUGAUGUGUUUGUGUGGCUGCCUACUGGAUUUGGAAAAUCGAUGAUUUAUGAGAGCUUGCCCUUUGUGUUUCACCGGCUAAAGAAUGUUUCUAAUAGUGUGGUGUUGGUAGUUUCUCUCCUGAUUUCGCUAAUGUUGGACCAAGCGAAGAGUCUGGCAAAGAGAGGAGCCAUAAUGAGUGACCGCAGUGUUGUCGAUAAGAAGGACAUUGAUAAAUAUAAAAUAGUAUUUACUUCUCCUGAAGCUGUCAUUGGAGUUGAAAGAUGGAGAAGUACACCUACAUUUUCUGACCGUAUAGCGUACUUGCACAGAAUACGACUGACAAGAAUUACCAGGUUCCCCCUUCUGUGAGAUUACUCACUGUACUCGCUGUUGAAAGACCAGCUGAUUGAACUCGGCACAAGCGUACUGUACAUGUCACCCCUAUGGUCUGAUCUAAUGUUACGUACCCUAACGUUCUUAUCGACAUUGUCGCCAACUAACUUGAUGUCAGUGCCCGUACUUAGCCAGUCUUUAGCCAGUCUUUUGAUGAAGCUUGGCGAUUUUGCCGAUGGUUGUAUCAUAGCUGACGGCAACACCUACUUGGUUCAGACGUGUGUGUAUACCUGAAACGUGUAUACCUGAAACGUAAAGAAAAAGAUGUCAGUUCCAUAUUUGUGACAUCAAAGUAUACGUACCUUUUUCUCGGUAGGAUCAAUGAUAUUAUGCUCUGAAUUCCACCUCCUUUAGGAUACAUGCUACUGCCAUACAUACAUAUUCCUGGAAAGUAAAAGGGGCUGUGGUCGGUGUGAGUCGAAAAUUACCAAGAGCAUCUGAAGAAGGCAUGUAACUCGAGCUCUCGGAUGAUGCACUUUCUCCAAGAAAAUGCAUCGACUGGUAUCAUUGAUGGUGCGUUAAUAUUUGGAUCCUGCACAUGGUAGAACACUCAGUACCUACUUCCGAUAAGAAUUUACUUUUCAGUUGGUCAGGAUUGGCGCACGGCCUUUGCAAUUGCAAUUGUAGGAAUGUGACCUCCUGCGACCUCCUGCUAAUGCCCUUCCAACUUUUUCCAACUUGGUAUCUAGCUGCUUAAUUAUUCCACCAGAGUGACUUGGGGUGGUAACUGUUACCUGCAAUAUUAUAUUUAGCUACAAGGGUUAGGGUUCGAAAGUGUUCGAAAGUGUUCUUACCUUAAACGAGCUAAAAGGGCAUGCCGUGUGCAGCUCCGACCGGAUGCAACGGGAAAAUGGGGAAAAUGAACAAACGAUGAAUUUGUUUGAGUCUUUUUGACGCCAUUCUUUACACUUCCUUUGAUACGCCUUCUUCCUGAGUAUAGCGUGAGCUCUCGCACGAGGUAGUUUGUUCAAACCAGAACAAAAAAAUGGCUACAAACUUAUUUUCAGCUUCUUCUAAGAAGCGUGCUAUAGGCACGGUUUUAGGCACCACAUGGAGCUGAUGUUCAACACGGAUGAGGCCAAGAAGACUUAAGGAUAGGAUGGACAGCGCUAAGCGUGUUCUUGCUGCCAGAGGCUCAUUGCCCUUGGACAACGGAGAGCUUCUCUCUAGAUUGUUGGACAAUAUGGAGGAACUGGCAGCUGAAGGAGUUUGCCCUGGCUCUGAUCGCUCAUGUCGUGCCCAUGUUGGAGAAUUCAGGAAUUUUCACUGGCAAUGCCAACGCCAGUGACGACCAGUUGUUCAUUUGUGAGCAAAAAACAUUUUCCCGUCUGUGUGCCAACCAUAUCAGUGCCAGUCAUACUCUCUUUAGAAGGGGCACGUCCUCCGCAUUGAAUUUCAAUGCGGAAGGCGCCAGUGGUGGGCUAGCUCACGAACACUAGGUGGACGAUACGAGCUAGGUGGACGAUACGAUACAUUGUCAUUAUUUUUAUUUACUUGACUUUUUGGUCCAAGAUCGUUCAUGCUUUCACGUGUGCUAGAGUUCUACAGUUCUACCGAGUGAAAAGUCGGUGCAUGGUACAUUUCUUCAGGUUUGUUUAUUUGGAGUUUCUCUAAUGGUUGUAUGGUUACAGGUACUGUGGACGCAUGUCAUCCAUGCUGAAGGCAGUUGAGGAAGUGAAAGCAACACCUAAUUACUCAACCAAUGGCGAGUGGGUAAUAACGCUCGCCACGACUCUACAGCCAACGCGUAUAAUACCACCGUUCCUUGUCUGUCAGGAAGUACGAAAAGAAUUGUUGGCUGCUCAAAUGUGUCCAGAACCGAACAUCAUUGUGCACAGACUCGAGAAGUUGCAUGUACCAAGAUAGUUCUUCCGCAGGUUCUGGAAAAAGUGAAGAAAUACGUCACUGAUGAGCUGAACCUUGGAAAUUCGUACAACACCUGGCACGGUAAGCGUAUAUUCUGUAACAGAGUUGGUGCAGGGACCAAGAAUGUAGCAAAGAAAAUGGCGAAAAUAGCAGUUGGGACCAAGAAGGCUCAAGGAAAGACCUGGUUUCCAGAGUUAUCUGACAAACUAAGCUUUGUUUGUUGAAAUUGCUGAGUCACAUAAAUAUAAUCCCCAUUAGGUAAAAGUACAAAAAUCCACUUGUACUACUGUAUGAAGAACUGUGCUCAGUCAGCAGAAAAGCUGCGGAAAAGUAUUUUAAAUAUCUGAGUAUCUGAGUAUCUUAUGUUUACAUGUAUUAUAACCUAUUAUUAUUAUUGUGUUUGCAUUAUUAUAAACACAAUUAUUGUGUUUGCAGAACAAGGCUGUGACAAAACCUCGACAAAACCUCAUUCUGCCACCAUUCAGAUCAAACUUGAGGAUCCUGCUGCCAUCGAAGCUUAUAAGGCGACACUAGUCAUACUGUUGAGUGAGGAUUUUCAAUUAGUAUUAUAGAUGAUUUAUUUCAUGUGUUGCAAUCACCAGCUACUCACAUACAUACCAAAGCGUAUUCAUUUUGGAUCAAGUACUAUUAUGCACUGGGUAUAUGUUGUACUAACCUACUGUAUUACAAUGGAAGUAUUUACAUUACAGAACGAGAAUGUAUGUAGAGAAAGUAUGUAGAGAAAGUACAAAAAGUACAAGUGAGGAGGCCUGAACGUAGGACUGCCAUGAAAGUGCUAAUUUGAUUUAAAUUUGUGGACAAUAUAUGGGAUGCUGAGCAACCGUCAGAAGAGCCAUUGAUGAUCUGGCGAACGAUGGACGAUGAACUUGUAUGUAAUAGUUAUUACAUGGCUAUGAGCAGUUUAUUGGCCCUUGCAACAUGCCAUAUAUUGAUCUCACAUAUAUUGAUCUCAAAAGCGAGAUGUUGACUGAAAGUCUUUGUACAGAAAACCCGGUGGGUUAGGGAAUCGUCCACGCACCUCCUGGAUAACAAAAAUGGAUUGUACCUGCACUACUUUCCCAAUAGGGUCCAGAACUUCUUGUACAGCCUGUACCUCUUUGUCAUGUUCCCCAAAUCUGGUGCAGAUGCUCCUAUCAACCAGUGGCUACAGCACAGGGUGAGAGGUGGCAAAUAGGACAAGCGUUGUCUCCCCCCAGUGCUGGCUACUACCACCUAUAAUAAAGAUAAGUCGUACAUUAUUAUACAUUCACUACCCAAGAUAAGUUACGUUUACUUUUGUAAUCAGGUGAUAAUUAUACCCAUUUUCUCAUCUAGCGUUACCUGGGAGAGAUGCCGUGCACCCACUUGACAACCCUGAUGAUUCACCUUCUUCAGAUUCACCUUCUUCAAGACUAUCCAACGACGUAGUUGCAAUACUGUCUACUACACACCCAUGAAAAGAAGCAAGCUUCCUAAACUCCUCCAGAAACUUCACUGGAAGUUGCUCACUGUAGCUGACCUGAAGCUGAACACACAUUUUAUUUAUUGUACAUGGCCUUUUUGCUGUACCUAGCUACUUACCUUGAGCCUUAUUUUUUUGUCAGCCAUAAGUUUCUUGGUUACUCCUGGAAUGUA